AGAUUAAGUUAUUAAGGGCGCACGGUGGAUGCCUUGGCACUAGAAGCCGAUGAAGGACGUUACUAACGACGAUAUGCUUUGGGGAGCUGUAAGUAAGCUUUGAUCCAGAGAUUUCCGAAUGGGGAAACCCAGCAUGAGUUAUGUCAUGUUAUCGAUAUGUGAAUACAUAGCAUAUCAGAAGGCACACCCGGAGAACUGAAACAUCUUAGUACCCGGAGGAAGAGAAAGAAAAUUCGAUUCCCUUAGUAGCGGCGAGCGAAACGGGAAGAGCCCAAACCAACAAGCUUGCUUGUUGGGGUUGUAGGACACUCUAUACGGAGUUACAAAGGACGACAUUAGACGAAUCAUCUGGAAAGAUGAAUCAAAGAAGGUAAUAAUCCUGUAGUCGAAAAUGUUGUCUCUCUUGAGUGGAUCCUGAGUACGACGGAGCACGUGAAAUUCCGUCGGAAUCUGGGAGGACCAUCUCCUAAGGCUAAAUACUCUCUAGUGACCGAUAGUGAACCAGUACCGUGAGGGAAAGGUGAAAAGCACCCCGGAAGGAGAGUGAAAUAGAACCUGAAACCGUGUGCUUACAAGUAGUCAGAGCCCGUUAAUGGGUGAUGGCGUGCCUUUUGUAGAAUGAACCGGCGAGUUACGAUUUGAUGCAAGGUUAAGCAGUAAAUGUGGAG
RNAcentral lists this ribosomal RNA (668 nucleotides) under Staphylococcus aureus. RNAcentral describes it as "bacterial LSU rRNA". It matches the Rfam family "Bacterial large subunit ribosomal RNA", at positions 1 to 665 of the family's 2925-position model. Lineage: Bacteria; Bacillati; Bacillota; Bacilli; Caryophanales; Staphylococcaceae. The record is from RNAcentral.